This 364-nucleotide ribosomal RNA is filed under the name uncultured Flavobacterium sp. RNAcentral describes it as "bacterial SSU rRNA". It matches the Rfam family "Bacterial small subunit ribosomal RNA", at positions 9 to 383 of the family's 1533-position model. Lineage: Bacteria; Pseudomonadati; Bacteroidota; Flavobacteriia; Flavobacteriales; Flavobacteriaceae. The record is from RNAcentral.
GAGUUUGAUCAUGGCUCAGGAUGAACGCUAGCGGCAGGCUUAACACAUGCAAGUCGAGGGGUAGUCUAGCAAUAGAUGAGACCGGCGCACGGGUGCGUAACGCGUAUGCAACCUACCUUUUACAGGGGAUAGCCCAGAGAAAUUUGGAUUAAUACCCCAUGGUAUAAUUUGAUGGCAUCAUUAGAUUAUUAAAGUUCCAACGGUAAAGAUGGGCAUGCGUCCUAUUAGCUAGAUGGUAAGUAACGCUUACCAUGGCUACGAUAGGUAGGGUCCUGAGAGGAGAUCCCCCACGACUGGUACUGAGACACGGACCAGACUCCUACGGGAGGCAGCAGUGAGGAAUAUUGGACAAUGGGCGCAAGCC